GUGCCAGCAGCCGCGGUAAUACGAAGGGGGCUAGCGUUGUUCGGAAUUACUGGGCGUAAAGCGCACGUAGGCGGAUCAUUUAGUCAGGGGUGAAAUCCCGGGGCUCAACCUCGGAACUGCCUUUGAUACUGAUGGUCUCGAGUCCGAUAGAGGUGAGUGGAAUUCCUAGUGUAGAGGUGAAAUUCGUAGAUAUUAGGAAGAACACCAGUGGCGAAGGCGGCUCACUGGAUCGGUACUGACGCUGAGGUGCGAAAGCGUGGGGAGCAAACAGGAUUAGAAACCCCGGUAGUCC
Molecule: ribosomal RNA, 292 nt
Filed under: uncultured bacterium
Lineage: Bacteria
Description: partial 16S ribosomal RNA
Rfam family: Bacterial small subunit ribosomal RNA
Source: RNAcentral